GAUGAACGCUGGCCGAAUGCUUAACACAUGCAAGUCUACUUGAACUUCGGUUUGGGUGGCGGACGGGUGAGUAACGCGUAAAGAACUUGCCUCACAGUUAGGGACAACAUUUGGAAACGAAUGCUAAUACCUGAUAUUAUGAUUUUAGGGCAUCCUAGGAUUAUGAAAGCUAUAUGUGCUGUGAGAGAGCUUUGCGUCCCAUUAGCUAGUUGGAGAGGUAACGGCUCACCAAGGCGAUGAUGGGUAGCCGGCCUGAGAGGGUGAACGGCCACAAGGGGACUGAGACACGGCCCUUACUCCUACGGGAGGCAGCAGUGGGGAAUAUUGGACAAGGGACCAAAAGUCUGAUCCAGCAAUUCUGUGUGCACGAUGACGUUUUUCGGAAUGUAAAGUGCUUUCAGUUGGGAAGAAAAAAAUGACGGUACCAACAGAAGAAGAGACGGCUAAAUACGUG
RNAcentral lists this ribosomal RNA (454 nucleotides) under uncultured bacterium. Its description in RNAcentral is "partial 16S ribosomal RNA". It matches the Rfam family "Bacterial small subunit ribosomal RNA", at positions 28 to 507 of the family's 1533-position model. The record is from RNAcentral.